UAGGAGCCGAAGAAGGACGGGACUAACACCGAUAUGCUUUGGGGAGCUGUACGUAAGCGUUGAUCCAGAGAUUUCCGAAUGGGGGAACCCACUAUCUUUAGUCGGAUAGUAUCCUUACGUGAAUACAUAGCGUGAGGAAGGCAGACCCAGGGAACUGAAACAUCUAAGUACCUGGAGGAAGAGAAAGAAAAAUCGAUUUCCUGAGUAGCGGCGAGCGAAACGGAAAGAGCCCAAACCAAGAAGCUUGCUUCUUGGGGUUGUAGGACACUCUAUACGGAGUUACAAAAGAAAGUUAUAAAUGAAGCGGUCUGGAAAGGCCCGCCAAAGACGGUAACAGCCCGGUAGUUGAAAUGGCUUUCCCUCCAGAGUGGAUCCUGAGUACGGCGGAACACGUGAAAUUCCGUCGGAAUCCGGGAGGAC
RNAcentral lists this ribosomal RNA (420 nucleotides) under Listeria monocytogenes. RNAcentral describes it as "partial 23S ribosomal RNA". It matches the Rfam family "Bacterial large subunit ribosomal RNA", at positions 40 to 453 of the family's 2925-position model. The record is from RNAcentral. Lineage: Bacteria; Bacillati; Bacillota; Bacilli; Caryophanales; Listeriaceae.